AUAGCAAUAUCAUAGUGGCGCACGGGUGCGUAACACGUAUGCAACCUACCUAUUAUUGGGGGAUAGCCUUUGGAAACGGAGAUUAAUACCGCAUAAUACGAUUGACUGGCAUCGGUUGAUUGUUAAAGCUUAGGCGAUAAUAGAUGGGCAUGCGUCCAAUUAGUUAGUUGGUUAGGUAACGGCUGACCAAGGCGAUGAUUGGUAGGGGAUCUGAGAGGAUAAUCCCCCACACUGGCACUGAGAUACGGGCCAGACUCCUACGGGAGGCAGCAGUAGGGAAUAUUGGGCAAUGGGCGGAAGCCUGACCCAGCCAUGCCGCGUGCAGGAAGAAGGCGUUAUGCGUUGUAAACUGCUUUUUUAUAGGAAGAAGGAUCCCUUGCGAGGGAAGGUGACGGUACUAUAAGAAUAAGCACCGGCUAACUCCGUGCCAGCAGCCGCGGUAAUACGGAGGGUGCAAGCGUUGUCCGGAUUAUUGGGUUUAAAGGGUGCGUAGGCGGUUUAUUAAGUCAGUGGUGAAAGACGGUCGCUCAACGAUUGCAGUGCCAUUGAUACUGGUAGACUUGAGUGGGAUUGAGGUAGCUGGAAUGGAUAGUGUAGCGGUGAAAUGCAUAGAUAUUAUCCAGAACACCAAUUGCGUAGGCAAGUUACUAAGUCUCAACUGACGCUGAGGCACGAAAGUGUGGGUAUCAAACAGGAUUAGAUACCCUGGUAGUCCACACUGUAAACGAUGAUAACUAACUGUUGGCUUUCGAGUCAGUGGUACAGAGAAAUCGUUAAGUUAUCCACCUGGGGAGUACGCCGGCAACGGUGA
Molecule: ribosomal RNA, 811 nt
Filed under: uncultured Bacteroidota bacterium
Lineage: Bacteria; Pseudomonadati; Bacteroidota
Description: bacterial SSU rRNA
Rfam family: Bacterial small subunit ribosomal RNA
Source: RNAcentral